UCAGAUUCUCGUUUUAGAGGUAGAAAGGGGACGGUACUCUUAGAAGAAGGUGGCUGCCUACAACAAAUUGCUGCAAAAAUACAAGCGGACCCGUGAGGCGCAUCAUACGUUUGCUGAUGUGUACAAGCAUGACCCCAGGUUUAGGGCAUUCCGUGAGGGCCUCAUGCAUUCUGAGGUGAAGCUAAAAAGGCGAGUGGCCGAAUUGGAAAAGAUUGAUGAUAAAGUUGAUGGACUUAGCCAUGUAGGUGACUUAGACUGUCGUUGAAUCACUUUUUUGCCGUGGUCAAAACUAGGUCGACUAUUGGCGGCGAUGGCCUUGGCCAUAAUAGAGCCUUAUCCAUGUAGGUGACUUCGACUGUCGUCGAAUCACUUGUUUGCCGUGGUCGAAUCACUUGUUGGCGGCGAUGGCCUUGGCCGUAACAGAGUCAGUGGACUUAGCCAUGAUAAAGUUGAUGGCCUCAGCCAUGUAGGCGACUUCGACUAUCGUUGAAUCACUUGUUUGCCGUGGUUGAAACUAGGUCGACUAUUUGCGGCGAUGGCCUUGGCGUAAUAGAGUCAAUGGCUUUAGCCAUGAUAAAGUUGAUGGCAUCAGCCAUGUAGGCAACUUCGACUGUCGUCGAAUCACUUGUUUGUCCUGGUCGAAACUAGGUCGAUUAUUGGCAGCGAUGGCCUUGGCCGUAAUAGAGUCGAUGGCCUUUUAUACAUUGGAGAAGGCCGUAGCCCUUUACACAUUGGAGAUGGUCGUAGCCCUUUAAACAUUGGAGAUGGUUGUAGCCCUUUAUACAUUGGAGAUGGUCGUAGCCCUUUACACAUUGGAGAUGGCCGUAACCCUUUAUACACUGGAGAUGGCCGUAGUCUUUUAUACAUUGGGGUUGGCCGUAGCCCUUUAUACAUUGGAGAUCAAGCUAGUCCAGUCCCUUUAUC
This 924-nucleotide long non-coding RNA is filed under the name Nicotiana benthamiana. RNAcentral describes it as "long non-coding RNA (NBEN_LNC034176)". Lineage: Eukaryota; Viridiplantae; Streptophyta; Magnoliopsida; Solanales; Solanaceae. The record is from RNAcentral.